CCAGACUCCUACGGGAGGCAGCAGUGAGGAAUAUUGGUCAAUGGGCGGAAGCCUGAACCAGCCAAGUCGCGUGAGGGAAUAAGGCCCUACGGGUCGUAAACCUCUUUUGCCGGGGAGCAAGGGCGGGGACGUGUCCCGGCCCGGAGAGUACCCGGAGAAAAAGCAUCGGCUAACUCCGUGCCAGCAGCCGCGGUAAUACGGAGGAUGCGAGCGUUAUCCGGAUUUAUUGGGUUUAAAGGGUGCGUAGGCGGGCUUUUAAGUCAGCGGUAAAAAUUCGGGGCUCAACCCCGUCCGGCCGUUGAAACUGGGGGCCUUGAGUGGGCGAGAAGAAGGCGGAAUGCGUGGUGUAGCGGUGAAAUGCAUAGAUAUUUGGAAGAACACCGAUGGCGAAGGCAGCCCCCUGGGACGCAACUGACGCUCAUACACGAAAGCGUGGGGAGCAAACAGGAUUAGAUACCCGCGUA
Molecule: ribosomal RNA, 464 nt
Filed under: uncultured bacterium
Lineage: Bacteria
Description: bacterial SSU rRNA
Rfam family: Bacterial small subunit ribosomal RNA
Source: RNAcentral